This 253-nucleotide ribosomal RNA is filed under the name uncultured bacterium. RNAcentral describes it as "partial 16S ribosomal RNA". It matches the Rfam family "Bacterial small subunit ribosomal RNA", at positions 524 to 776 of the family's 1533-position model. The record is from RNAcentral.
GACAGAGGUGCCGAGCGUUAGGCGGAAUCACUGGGCUUAAAGCGUGUGUAGGCGGACGUCUAAGUACCUUGUGAAAUCCCACGGCUCAACCGUGGAACGGCUUGGUAUACUGGGCGUCUUGAGCCACUUAGGGGUCGUCGGAACAAGCGGUGGAGCGGUGAAAUGCGUAGAUAUCGCUUGGAACGCCAACGGUGAAAACAGACGACUGGGAGUGUGCUGACGCUGAGACACGAAAGCCAGGGGAGCGAACGGG